RNAcentral lists this ribosomal RNA (496 nucleotides) under uncultured bacterium. RNAcentral's name for it is "partial 16S ribosomal RNA". It matches the Rfam family "Bacterial small subunit ribosomal RNA", at positions 29 to 507 of the family's 1533-position model. The record is from RNAcentral.
AUGAACGCUGGCGGCGUGCCUAAUACAUGCAAGUCGAGCGAACGGACGAGAAGCUUGCUUCUCUGAUGUUAGCGGCGGACGGGUGAGUAACACGUGGAUAACCUACCUAUAAGACUGGGAUAACUUCGGGAAACCGGAGCUAAUACCGGAUGAUAUUUUGAACCGCGUGGUUCAAAAGUGAAAGACGGUCUUGCUGUCACUUAUAGAUGGAUCCGCGCUGCAUUAGCUAGUUGGUAAGGUAACGGCUUACCAAGGCAACGAUGCAUAGCCGACCUGAGAGGGUGAUCGGCCACACUGGAACUGAGACACGGUCCAGACCCCUACGGGAGGCAGCAGUAGGGAAUCUUCCGCAAUGGGCGAAAGCCUGACGGAGCAACGCCGCGUGAGUGAUGAAGGUCUUCGGAUCGUAAAACUCUGUUAUUAGGGAAGAACAUAUGUGUAAGUAACUGUGCACAUCUUGACGGUACCUAAUCAGAAAGCCACGGCUAACUACGUG